UAACCUCACUUUCCUUUGGUGACUUAGAUUAUUAAGACUUGAAUACACACAGAACGCCUAGGACUCGAAUAUGGGUUCCAACCGUUGCCAAAACAAUGAGUCAACUGUUUUGGUUUUAUACAUAUACAAAUGUUGUGUCGAUACACAGUACACGAAACAAUUACACACAUAAAGUAAGACUUUGAGAGUUGUGGUAACACACAUUUAGGACCUUUGGAAAACUUAUGACGAAAUUCAUUAAAGGUCCUCACGUAGGAACGGUGAUUAUUAACUCACGCAAAUGCCCUUAUAUUAUAUCGUCUAUGCUAUCUUAAUUACCCAAGUAGGUAAUCUACGUGGAAUGACACGCUAUUGCACAACUAUACGUGAAACUUAAACUAUACGUCAGCAGACGUCGAAGUACAUCACACACGACUUUCAAGGCAAGGCCUUUGGAAAACAUGAUUGGGCAUGACAACAACGAUGCUAAUCCCGUCAGCGGCAGAACUACGGAUCGAAAUGCGGCAAAUUGCCAAGUGACCCUGCAAUUGACACGAAUCACGCUGAGGUACGUUUAACUGGGAUUUCACAACAAUCUAUACUUACUCUAAGGAGACUCACAAUUGUUGGCGCUGCAAAGGAAGUUACACGUCUUCGCAUUCCCCCUACUUUAUUAAUGGCGACUGCACUAUGUUCGACAUUCCAUGGAAAUGUCAACUAACAAACGACUAUCACACGAAGUCCAGGUAAAGUCCUUAAAUUUCUUUUGUUGAAAUUUCAACUUCUUGCAUAUAGUGAGUAGAUUUUUGCAUUUCUACUCCCCCUAAUAGCCAUUGCAUCACGAAAAUUUUAUUUCAUGAUAACGAACACUUAAUUGCUUCAUUCUUGACAAAUUCAUAUGUUACACAUGCGUUGUUCGUUACGCAUGUGGCUUCGCUCGAAAUUGUUGCUUUAUCAACGUUCAAUAAUGUUUCGCUAUGUCGAAUUUUACAUUGUGAUUUGGAUGACCGUAUUAUUGCAAAACGUUGACUCUUUGAUAUCGGGUCAACGAACUCGUUAAAACUCAUUUCCUUUCAAGCUACAUACAUGUUUUUUUUUUUUUUUUUUUUUGUAACCAUGUCAAAAUUUUCUUGUUGAUACAUGCUUCCAUUGUUGGAUGGUGCUUAAACCAAGUUCAAUUGUUUGAACUUGCUCGUAAUAUAUAUUCGAUUCAAGAUUCCAUAUGAUGGAUUGAGGCCAUCAUAUUCGAAAUAAUCCCAACAAGCACCUCAUUUGCUUUGAACCAUAACAGGCUUCUUGGUCUUCGACUUCAUUGAAUCGUUUCUUUGAUCACGAUCACCUUGUGGUGGCGUAUUUCACAAGUUUGAAGCUUGCGCUAAUCUCGUUGCUCACAUCAUGUACGGAUUUAAUUAUUUAUUUAUUUGUUUAAUUAUAUUAAAUCCGCCUUGUUGAUUUAUCGUAUGAAAUCAGUCUUAAUACAAUUGUGUGUUAAGACAAUGGUACACAAGUUCAUGUCAUAUUUCGGUGUGCCUCUUAACGGUUCUUUCAGCAUCGAUCAAACAUUUUGUGAUAUUUAUUGCUCUUUCAUUUUCGAUCGAAAAACGUUAUUUAUUUGUUUCAUUUUCAAUCGAAAAUCCUAUGAGAUUUGUUUGAAACAAACAUUCAGAUAUAUUCGUUGAACCUUCAUUUGAUUUCAAACACGGUGAUAUUUGUUUGGUCACUGCUAUUAUUGAAUUAUUUCAAUCACUACGACACCUUGUGGUGUCAGUAUAAAUUUGUAGCUUGGGCUAAUCAUGAUCGAGCGUUUCAUGUAAAACACAGGUGAUACUUGUUCGAUCACCGAUAUUAUUGAAUUAUUUCAUUCGCUACGACACCUUGAGGUGUCGGUAUAAACUCGUAGCUUGUGCUAAUCACGAUCAUUUGUUUCAUGCAAAACAACAUAUACUUUUUCGUUUGACGCAUCGUUUAAAUAGUCUUAAUGCAAUUAUGUAUUAAGACGAUGAUACACCAGGUUCGGUUGUAUUUCGUUUCGGUGUAUCCUUGCAACUCAACAAUGUCAACACCUUGAUUUUAUCUUAUUCAUUUAUUGGUUCGAUAGUUGACAAUCAUUUUUUAUGAUUCUACUUAUUUGAGUUUGUUGAAUUCGAGCUUCACUUAUACAACAACCAACGCUAGAUUCCAUUGGUAGUAAAUUCUAUUGUUUCAAAAAUUGAUUUGCAGUUAGUGAACGUUCAUUUGGAAUUCCACUGGUUGAAUUUCCUCUUUUGUUGAACCCCGUAAACUUGGUCGCAUUGGUGAUAUUAUCACUACGCUUGUCCUCACAUUUACGUAAUCUGAAUAAGUCUUGCUUUGAUUACGCGGUUAUUCACUUUGGCAUUGUUCGGACUUACCUGCGAACGGCACAACUCUGAGAAGAUAACAUAGUCUAAAUUUCGAGGACGAAAUUUCUGCAACAGGGGGAGAAUGUGACAACCUGUAAUUAACGGCCUUCUAAUUUCGCGAUUAACAAACGUUUAGGUGAUAACAAAUAAUGUUUAAGACACGAAUUAGCUUAAUUAGGCUAUUGGAAUGCCUAGGAACGCUAAUCAGAUGUUACAAUGCGCAUAUGAGGAUUUUCGGGAAAACUGAGUAACGUUAAACGAUAACGAACUGAUGUCGUACAAAAGACUGGCCAUGCAGACAAAUACAAAUUUUAUACGUAUAAUUUAAACUUAUGAAUGUGGUUUUGUGAAAACAUCACGCUUUCGAAUGUUACAAAACGCAAACGUGAACGAAAAACGCGACCGAAGGAACGCACCGGCAACGAAACAAAAGCACCGGACUCGAGUUACGACCCAAUAUUAAUAUAUUAUGAUAUAUUUAACUUCAUUUUCAAAAUUUAUUAUCCGUAUUUGAAAACGGAUCGCAAAACGGACACCAAACGACGAACGACACAGUUUAUGCGUUUUUAACGCAACCGACAAAAAUACGCGUCAAACAUCGCCUCCCGAUGCUCUUUUACAUAUUUUUGAUCUUAAAAAGGGUAGUAUUAGGUAUUUUCAUUGCGCAAGUUGUAAAUUAUAUUUACAAUAUGCGGUUAGCGCGGCACGAAUAAUAGGUAAAUAUAUUUUAUACAUCGGACACGUUCAUAAAUAAUUUUAUGAGAUUAUAUGCACAAGUUUAUUUUCUUUUAUGCAUUAAUAUUCCAUGAUCUUUCGUAUUCUUUAUUUUUUUAUACGCACCCUCGUAUUUUCAAAGAUUUCUAGAUCACGAUCACGCACAUAUGGUUAUUUAAACGUAUAAAAUAUACAUACUUUGACAUGUAUAUAUAUCAAAAUCAUAUGUUUAUUUUUUUAUAUAGAACUUCACAAAAAAAAAAAAAAAGAGUUCCACGCCAAAUUUGUAUAUCCUCGAAAACGCUUGUUUUUGUCGAAACCGAAAUCGAACUGACGUUAAACAUGCGUUCGUACAUGAAACCAUCCAAAAACAUUUUUCUAGCUGAAUUCUAAUUUUGCCAAGUUGGUUAGAGCAUAUUACUUCUUCUUCUUUUUUUUUUUUUUUGAGAUAAACCUUUUUAUGAUUUUCCUUGAUGGCUGAGUGACAUACUUGCCAAAGUUGGACUUUUAUAUCCAAAGCAUGGUAAUAUCAAUACUCAUGACAUCCUAUACCAUAUUUUCUUUAUCUCAUGACCAUCCGAUCACAUCAUCAUCAUUACAUAUAUUCAUGCCAUACACAUUAAUUUUUAUUAUACAUUCCUUGAUAUAUUUGGUGGAUUUUGUCAAACCAACUCCUCCUGGACCCAUACCCAUCGACCAUACCCUAUUAAUUGUGCUUCAUCCUUAUCAUUUAAACACAAGACCAUUUCAUUCUAUUUUCCACUCUCCAAAACCAAAAACAAGAGCACACACACAAGCCACAAAUUGAAUUUCAAGAUUCAAGGUCAAGCUUCAAACCGUUCAUGCCUUGUUUGUUUUCGGCACGAGUAGAUCAUUUCAUGUAGACACGGACUUUGCUAUUUGCUAUUUGCUUUGCCACAUUUGUUUGCACAUCAGGUUGCAUUUUCAAAACUAUGGAACGGUUGGAAUAGGAGAACCCAUGGGAAUUCGAGUACUUAGCAGGCGUUCAUUGUUUAGAAGUCUUAGCUUAUUGCUUCCGCUGUGCAAUGAAGAUACUGGUCAAGUCACGCCAGCUCUGAUUUUUCGGGGUGUGACAUGUUCCCCAAGGACAAGACCAAGCCUAGCAAAUCUAAACCUAACGCAACUAGUGAAUUUCGGGACGAAAUUCCCUUUCAAGUUGGGGAUGAUGUGGCACCCGCAGAAAAUCGACAGUCAUCAUCUUAAUUCAUUACUUCACUCCCCUACGAUUACUUGGCAAAUUU
Molecule: long non-coding RNA, 4336 nt
Organism: Helianthus annuus (common sunflower)
Lineage: Eukaryota; Viridiplantae; Streptophyta; Magnoliopsida; Asterales; Asteraceae
Exons: 3
Source: RefSeq, a predicted model, not a curated record